GAAAGAAGGUUAUAAAUAUGCUUAGUCUACUUUGCUGUCAUUUACAUUAACAAUGAAAAAAAUCUAUGUCCAUGUGCAAUUUUAUAUACAUAUUUUCACCACACACUUUUUGGUGGCUACACUCCUCACAGACCUCAGGACCUAAAUGGAAGAAGUGGUUGGGCCAUGCUUUCCUUUCUCCUUUGCAGCUUUCACCAGUACUUCCACUAACCUUCUCCAGUUAGUAGCUCUCUGGCAAACCUCCUGCUUCACUUCCUUGGGCCAAUCUUGGCUUACAUCUCCGUGGACGUCUGCUUCGUUGCAUUUGAGGGAAAUGUUGGCAUCGAUUUGACUUAAACCUUCUCCCCAGAGUGAUUUCCUCCCUUUCCUUUGUCAACAGAAGAAUGGUUUAUUAUUGCCAGUUUUGGCCUCCUCAGUGCCCUCACACUCUGCUACAUGAUCAUCAGAGCCACAGCUAGCUUGAAUGCUAAUGAGGUAGAAUGGUUUUGAAGAAGAAAAAACCUGCUUUCUGACUGAUUUUGCCUUGAAGGAAAAAAGAACCUAUUUUUGUGCAUCAUUUACCAAUCAUGCCACACAAGCAUUUAUUUUUAGUACAUUUUAUUUUUUCAUAAAAUUGCUAAUGCCAAAGCUUUGUAUUAAAAUAAAUAAAUAAUAAAAUAAAA
This 662-nucleotide small RNA is filed under the name Pongo abelii (Sumatran orangutan). RNAcentral's name for it is "retained intron". The record is from RNAcentral. Lineage: Eukaryota; Metazoa; Chordata; Mammalia; Primates; Hominidae.